This 439-nucleotide ribosomal RNA is filed under the name uncultured bacterium. RNAcentral describes it as "partial 16S ribosomal RNA". It matches the Rfam family "Bacterial small subunit ribosomal RNA", at positions 338 to 794 of the family's 1533-position model. The record is from RNAcentral.
CCUACGGGUGGCAGCAGUGAGGAAUAUUUGGCACUGGAGGCAACUCUGACCCCGCCAUGCCGCGUGAGUGAAGAAGGUUUUCGGAUUGUAAAGCUCUUUCGGCUGUGACGAUGAUGACGGUAGCAUCUAACGAAGCCCCGGCUAACUUCGUGCCAGCAGCCGCGGUAAUACGAAGGGGGCAAGCGUUGUUCGGAAUUACUGGGCGAAAAGGGGGUGUAGGCGGUUGAGUAAGAUAGUGGUGAAAUCCCAGGGCUUAACUUUGGAAGUGCCAUUAUAACUAUUAGACUAGAAUUACAGAGAGGAGAGUGGAAUACCCAGUGUAGAGGUGAAAUUGGUAGAUAUUGGGUAGAACACCAGUGGCGAAGGCGACUAUCUGGCUGUACAGUGACGCUGAGGCUCGAAAGCAUGGGGAUCAAACAGGAUUAGAUACCCCAGUAGU